UCCAGGCUCCACCUCCCCCAAAACCUAGCUGCCACUCGACUGCUGUUCCCCUCUUGCUCUCUCCCUUGCCCUCACGGCGGCGGCGGCCGGCCAUCGCUCGCUUUUCUCCGCCGUCGACGACCAGUCCCCUUCCUCCUCCAUCGCCCCUCUCCUGCGGAUCGGAAAUGAUUUCUCCUCGUCCCGAUUUGACCUCUGGUUCAACCGAUAUGAAGCAAGCGGCGGCCGCGCCCGCGAAGAGCACCGGUUCGUGCGAGGAUGCUGGCCAAGAGAGAUCAAGGAGGAGAUAGCUGGCGGUCACUGCGGCGGAGUGAAUCUGCCUGGAACUUGUUCGUUCUUGAUGUCAUUCUCAAGAGCACUGCAUCUAGGCAGUGGAUUUUGCUUGGAUCCGCUUGUGCUUUGACUCCGGUCUGAUGGUAUUUGGUUAAAAAAUGUCAGGUCUACUUUCUUCCCUUUCCCUUACCUCAAAUGAUUCUCUUAUGGUUUGUGGCUGGAAUGGAGCAAUCGAUUUGGUAAAAAAUGUCACUCAGUGCAAGCUACAAGACUUGGCCUUGUGCUGCUGGAGCAGAGGUUGGCUGCCUACCACUGCUGUGUUGUGUGCUGCGACAUUUAAUCACCAAACAAGUACUAAUAAUCUACUGAUUUAUCUUAUGUUAAAUGACAGGAACUCCUAUUAUCUAUCCUACUGUUUUUUGGGUUGCACAAUUGGAACUGUCAAAGAUGGGAGGAUGUGUUGGUUGAUGUUCUAAUGCUAUCUGAUCAUUUUCUUCUCCAAUGAGAAAAAAAAAUGAAGCUGGCAUUGCAACUCCUGCAAUAUAAAUCUGGGCAACCGUUCAGCCUUCAUAUAUCAUAAUGUGUUCCCAGAUUUCGAAUGAUAUGUUACACAUGAACUGAUUAGGAUGGCUAGGAGAAAUUUGGUUCUUUCUCCAGAUGACGCAGUAACGAUGUAAUGACCUGAUAAGCAUGUACUUAUACAACAGCCAAGUAGAAAAUUGCAUUUCAUUGUUCAUAACAACUGAUUUGGUAAACAUUUUGUGGACCUAACUUAUGUCUCAUUUUUGCCUUGCUGCAUCUAACCUGCUCCAUAGAAUCAUUUCGCCGAUGUCCUGACUUGUGCGCUCUGCUUACUUUGAUGUCUCAGGAACAUUAUGCUGACAAAGUGACAAUUAGUCUGGACUGUAGUCUUGGCCUGAAACAUAUUUCCCUGCAGGCUUAGAAUGCAUAUUACAACCCAUAACGUAUAUUUGCAACUGUUGAUACUUUGAUUUGGUUUACUUUUAGAACAUAACCUGGAAUUUUUUUCUGUUCCCAAAUUUUGGUAAGUUAACAUGUUUUUGGAGUAUUUUCUUAUUUUGAAAUUUUGGUCCAACUAGCUCCUACCAUUUCUAACUUUCAUCUCUUAUUAAUUAACAUUAUGAUUACGUUGGAAAAACAUACCUGUUUAACAGGUAGUUGCCAGGUCAACAAUGAUGCCUUUGUUUUAAAGAUUCUAGAUUAGAACUGAAGCUACAUCAAGUUACAAACUAGGCCUCUUGCAGUAUAUGGUCAAGAAUAAGAUCCACUUUCAUGACAUCAAAUUCGUAUUUCAACAAUUCAAUGAGGGAAGUAUUUCAUCGAUGCGACCAAUCAGACUUAUUUCUAUGCUUUUGACUUCAAAUUCAACCUGCUACUCAAGAUUCAUUGGAUUGACAUGAGCAUCAAAAUUAGUGUAAUUAGCAAAGCAUUGCUGAGAAUCAAUUCAUUUUAUAUAUUUUGCACCAAAA
This is a non-coding RNA of Oryza sativa Japonica Group (Japanese rice), 1760 nucleotides long. The record is from RefSeq and is a predicted model, not a curated record. NCBI's taxonomy places the organism in Eukaryota, Viridiplantae, Streptophyta, Magnoliopsida, Poales, Poaceae.